Molecule: ribosomal RNA, 416 nt
Filed under: Bellamira scalaris
Lineage: Eukaryota; Metazoa; Arthropoda; Insecta; Coleoptera; Cerambycidae
Description: partial 16S ribosomal RNA
Source: RNAcentral
CCUGGUUAUCAAAAACAUGGCUUAUUGAUAAUAAUUUUAGGUCUAACCUGCCCCCUGAGGAUUUAAAUGGCCGCAGUAAUUUGACUGUGCAAAGGUAGCAUAAUCAUUAGUUUUUUAAUUAAAAGCUGGUAUGAAAGGUUGGAUGAGAAAAAAACUGUCUCUAUUUAAAUUUAGUAUGAAUUUUAUUUUUAAGUAAAAAAGCUUAAAUAUGUUUAAAAGACGAGAAGACCCUAUAGAGUUUUAAAAAUAAAUUUUUUUAUGGUUUUUUGAAAUUUAAUUUAUAAAGAUAUUUCUUUUUUUUAUUGGGGUGAUGGAAAAAUUUAAUAAACUUUUUUUUUAUUAAAACAUUAAUUUAUGAAAAUUUGAUCCAUUAUUUGUGAUUAUAAGAUAAAAUUNCCUUAGGGAUAACAGCGUAA